UGUUAUUAUAGUACCAGAAAUCUCUUACUUCUUGUCUAGAUGUGUGUAUUGCUAUCAGAUCAAUCCAUGAAAGAUUAAUAUAUGAGAGAAGCUAAUAUUAGUUGCCAUUAGCGACCUGUUUAUGAUUAGGUCUAGUGUGAUCAAAAUAUUUAAUAUUGACUUCUGUAUUUAGUUGUUGGUGCAUACAUUAUUUUAAAGAUCUUUUCAGCUUUGAGUUGGCAGUUGAGAUGUUAGAGUACAUGGAAUGCAUUUUAAAUCUCUAUGAAGCAGUAUUCAGUUCCAUGGACCCAUCAAGGGCAAACUCCAUGACACGUUCUGGACAGUGCCGCUUGGCACCUCUGAUUCCAAGCAUUCAGGAUUCCUCGUGCCUGUAUGACUGCAUUGUUCGCAUCCUUUUCCAGCUGCAUAAAGUUCCCAGCAAAUAUAAGCCCACUCUUCAAU
RNAcentral lists this long non-coding RNA (441 nucleotides) under Penaeus japonicus. RNAcentral describes it as "uncharacterized LOC122244678". Lineage: Eukaryota; Metazoa; Arthropoda; Malacostraca; Decapoda; Penaeidae. The record is from RNAcentral.